This 7838-nucleotide long non-coding RNA is filed under the name Sus scrofa (pig). RNAcentral describes it as "lncRNA (ENSSSCG00040063696.1)". Lineage: Eukaryota; Metazoa; Chordata; Mammalia; Artiodactyla; Suidae. The record is from RNAcentral.
UUUUUUUUUUUUUUUUUGGUCUUUUUUGCCAUUUCUCAGGCUGCUCCUGCGGCAUCUGGAAGUUCCCAGGCUACUGGUCAAGUCAGAACUGUAGCCACUGGCCUACACCAUAGCCACAGCAACGCGGGAUCUGACCUGCGUCUGCAGCCUAUACCACAGCUCAUGGCAAAGCCAGAUCCUUAACCCACUGAGCAAGGCCAGGGAUAGAACCCACAACCUCAUGGUUCCUAGUCGGAUUCGUUAACCACUGAGCCACGAUGGAAACUCCCAAGCUCUUUUUUUUUUUUUUUUUAAUAACACAUAAUCACAGAUUAAUUUUUACACCUAACAAAAUUAACUAUUCCUAAAUGUCGUCUCCUGUCCAGUUAGCAUUUAGAUUUCCCCAUCUCACAGUCACUUAUGGUUGCUCUUUUUGCACUGGGAGGCAAGCAGGGUUCACUUGGAGCACCUGGCUCAAGGUUCCAUUGCUUUACAGAACCUUCUGUGACGUCCUGAGGCACCCAUCCUGCCUCCCUGCUGGCAACCUGGAGCUGCCCUCUCCGGCCAAGAGCUGGCAGAGCACCCCACUCUUGUCUGUCUUUUUCCUUUUUUUUUUAGGGCUGCACCCACAGCAUAUGGAGGUUCCCAGACUAGGGUUCUAAUUGGAGCUGUAGCUGCUGGCCUACACCACAACCACAGCGAUGUGGGAUCCGAGCCGAGUCUGUGACUUACAUCACAGCUCAUGGCAAUGCCAGAUCCUUAACCCAUUGAGCGAAGCCAGGGAUUGAACCCGCCACCUCAUGGUUCCUAGUCAGAUUCGUUUCCGCUGGGCCAUGAUGGGAACUCCUAUUUUUUCUCUUUAAAGAAAUUGGCCAGAGUGCUACCUUCAGCUGAUGCAUGGCCUGGCCCUUGAAUUGCUGGAUCAUGGUUGCCCACCCAGUUCAUUUGUUAGACCAGCCUUUAUUGUGCCUACUGUGCCCACCAGGGCUCAUGGUCACUGGCAAGUCUGACUGAUGGUGAGAGGUGCCCUGCUCACUCUGAACCAGGAGAAGGAAGCUGUCUUUGUCCCAGUGCUUUAACUGGGGACACUGGGGUUCAAAGUGAGAACUGACAUCCCACACUGACUGCUAGCAAGACUUGAUGAGAUCCUGAGUGCUGCCCUCCCUGGGCCUCAGUUUCCUUGUUUUAGGCCAGCACACCCCUGAAGCCCUGGCAGUGGACCAGAUUCUCCCUCAGUGGCGGUGUCAGGGCAAGCCUAGGACUCCGUUCUUCAUUCUCCUGGGGUGCCCUCCCUUGGCCUUCCCCCUCACAUCCCACCCUACAUGCUCUGCAGGGGUCCAGGCUUGUCCAUCACCCUGAGAGAUUCCUGACCCAGGGCAGUCAGAGGGAAUGCAGGCCCUUGGGAGGUGCUGCCAGGUGGGCUGUUUGCAGUCGUGAACCUGAGGCUGUGCCUAAUAUCACCCAUUGCCUGUUGCAGAGCCUGGGAUUGUGGAUGUUCAACUCGGUUUAGGUGAGGGCAGACUCCCACAGCAGCUUAAAGCAAGUCAGCAUUCUCACCGGCACUUAGUGUUGUCUGGUUUUGUCAUCUUGGCCAGCGUGGUGAGGGAGAAAGAGUGUCUCAGGAUUUGAUUUAUUUCUUCUGUGACCAGUCUGUUCUGCCAUUAACACUCUUUUUGAAAAUGCACAUUUUUUUUCCCAGAGCGAUUGAUAUUUGAGGGAACAAUGUGAGCAUAAUCAAGGUUUAGUAUUUAUGUAUGAGCAGUUUUAUGCUCGUUAAAUACCAGGUGAACACAGAGCCUGUAAUCAGUGACUCUCUUACCUGCCUCUGCGGCAGCUUUGUCUCAUUUCAGAAGCCCCACUUUCCCCCACUGGACACAGCAUACCCACAGGCAGGCAUCAGGGCUUCGUCAAGAUAAAGUGCCAUAUAUUGCAGCAUUUUGUGUGUUUUUAAACUACCUAAUCCUUGGAAAACUGCCUUUUCUUGUUAAUUGGGGGAAAAAGAGAAAACCACUUUAGAUCUCCUGGCUGAGUCUGUCACCUAUACCACAGCUCGCAGCCACGUCAGAUCCUUAACCAGGCUCCUUAACCCACUGAGCGGGACAAGGGAUCAAACCUCCAUCCUCAUGGAUAGUGGCCAGGUUCUUAACCACUGAGGCACAAGGGUAAUUCCCCCACCUCCCCUUGCAUACCUGUUACUUUCUUCCACUAGUGAAACACCUGGCUUCCCCAUCCCCCAUAGCUACAUUAAUCGAUUCAUUCUAACAGACCUCACAGUAGUGUCAGAACUGUUGACCUAUACCCCCUUGGGAAAUAGUUUAUCAACUAGAGUAUAGUGCUUAUGUGUGGUUCUUUUUGACUUUGGUCUUAAGAACUGACUUCCAAUACGUUACUUAAGCAAAUACCUUAUUUGCUCUCCCGUUCAAUGAGGUGGUUUCAUCCAUCUGUAAUGCAGUUAGAUUGUUUUGCCAUAUUCUGCGUUCCAUCCUAGGAUCUCCUGACCUAAAAGAUUUUUUUUUUAAUUUCUUUUCUUUCUUUUUUUUUUUUUUUUUUUAAGUCUUUUGUCUUUUUAAGUCCUCACCUGGGGCAUAGGGAGGUUCCCGGGCUAGGGGUGUAAUCGGAGCUGUUGCUGCCAGCCUAUACCAGAACCACAGCAACGCCAGAUCUGAGCCUCGUUUGUGACCUACACCACAGCUCACAGCAAUGCUGGAUCCUUAACCCACUGAACGAGGCCAGUGAUUGAACCUGCAACCUCAUGGUUCCUAGUCAGAUUCAUUUCUGCUGUGCCACGACGGGAACUCCUAAAAAUUUUUUCAUUAAGUUUCACUCUUUAGGAGUUCCCAUCAUGGCGCAGUGCUUAACGAAUCCAACUAGAAACCAUGAGGUUUCGGGUUUGAUCCCUGGCCUUGCUCAUUGGGUUAAGGAUCUGGUGUUGCCAUGAGCUGUGGUGUAGGUCACAGACGCAGCUCGGAUCCCGAGUUGCUGUGGCUGUGGUGUAGGCCAGCGGCUACAGCUCCGUUUUGACCCCUAUCCUGGGAGCGGCCCAAGAAAUGGCAAAAAGACAAAAAAAAAAAAAAAAAAGUUUCACUCUUUAUACUGUAAAGUCAUGAAGGUUUUGACAAAUGUGUAGUGUCAUUUAUCCACCAUUACAGUAUUAUACAAAAUUGUUUUAUUGCAUUAGAAAAAUCCCCUGUGCUUUACCUAGNCCCCCCCCCCCCCCCCCAAAAUGAACUCCUGGCAAUCACUGUUGUUACUUUCUCCAUAGUUUUGUCUUUCUAGAGUGUCACAUAAUUGGAAUCACAUAAUAUGUAGGCUUUUCAGACUGGUUUCUUUCACUUAGCAACGUAUGUUUAAGAUUCAGGUCUUUUCAUGGCCUGAUAGUUCUUUUUAAACAAUUUUUUUUUUUAAAUCACAGAAUAAUAUUUCAUUGGAUAUACCACAGUUUGUGUAUCCAUUCACACUGGGGCAUCCCAGUUACUUCCAGUUUGGGGUGAUUAUUAGUAAAGCUGCUAUAAAACAUCCAUGUGCAGGUUUUGAGUGGACAUAACUUUUUAACUCCUUUAGGUAGACACCAAAGAGAGGGGCACUUGCUGGAUCAUAGGGUAAGAGUAUGUUUAGUUUUGUAAGAAACUGCCGAACUGUCUUGCAAAGUGGCUGCACCAUUCUCUUUCUGCCAGCAGUGAAUAAGAGUUCCUGUUGCUCCACAUCCUCACCAGCAUUUGGCGUUGUCAGUGUUUUGGGUUUUAGUCAUUUCAGUGGGCAUCUCAUUGUUCUUGUUUGCAUUUCUCUGCUGACACAUAGUGCGGAAUGUGUUUUCAUGUAUUUGUUUGCUGUCUGUAUAUCCUCUUUGGUGAGGUGUCUGUUCUGUUCUUUUGCUCAUUUUAAAAUUGAAUUGUUUGUUUUCUUAUUGUUGAGUUUUGAGAGUUCUUUUCUUUUUUUUUUUUUUAAUGGUCACAUCGUUGGCAUAUGGAAGUUCCUGGGCCAAGGGUAGAAUCUGAGCUGCAGCUGUGUCCUUUAAGCCACUACAUCGGCCCAGGGGUCAAACCUGCACCUCCUCAGCGACUAAAGCUGCUGCAGUUGGAUUUUUAACCCACUGCGCCACAGUGGGAACUCUGAGAGUUCCUUAUCCAUUUUGGUUAUGAGUCCUACUUGGUGAUUAAUUUCUCCUAGUCUGUGGGUUCUUUUCAUUUCCUCAGCAGUGUCUUUCACAGCAGAGUUUUAAAUUUCAGCACCAUUUUGCUUUCAUGUUAAGAUCAUCAUCACCAAAUAUAAGGUCGUAUAGAUUCUUUUCCCAUGUUUUUUAUCUAGUGGUUUUACAGUUUUGCAUUUUAUGUUUAGGUCUGUAGUUCAUUUCAGGUUGGUAUUUGUGAGAUGUAUAUGAUCUGUUUCCAGAUUCAUUUUUUUCGCAUGUGGAUGUACAGUUCCAGUGCCAUUUUUUGAAGAGACUUUGUGAAAUUGCUUUUGCUCCUUUGUCAAAGAUCAGUUGCUAAAUAUGUGGAAGUCCAUUCCUGGGAGCUCUGUACUGUCCCAUUGACGUAUGCAGUUAUCCUUUUUCCAAUACCCUGCUCUCUUGAUUUUUUGUGACUUUUAAUUUUAUUAGGUUUCUAACAUUUUAUGUGUUCAUGAUGAUUCUUCUCUUUAAGCUCUGUGGGUUUUGGUGUGUGGCUCAGUACACCUGCCUGGGGUCUGCUGGCCCAGGUCUUGAGCUCUGGGGUGGCAGGGUUGGUCCUGGUCAUCAUCAACCAAUGUAGUCCCUUUUUUUUUUUUCCCACUCUUGAGAAAAAGUAAUAGAAUGCUUAUGGUUAAAAAGAAAAAUCGCUAGUACAGUUGCUUAUUUUUUGUUGGUUUGUUUUUUGCUUUUUUGUCCUUUUAGGUCCUCCCUGGGACAUAUGGAAGUUCCCAGGCUAGGGGUCAAAUCAGAGCUGCAGCUACUGGCCUACGCCACAGCCACAGCAAUGCAGGAUCCAACUUGGGUCUGCAUUCUGCACCACACUCAUGGCAAUGCUGGAUCCUUAACCUACUGGGUGAGCCAGGGAUUGAACCUGCCUCCUCAUGGAUAAUAGUUGGGUUUGUUAUUGCUGAGCCACAAUUGGAACUCCCAGUUGGUUAGAUUUUUGAUGGAAGAUGAGUAUGACACUCCUCUGUGUCUUUGUGUCCCUGUUUUUGAGGUGGUCUACAGGACCUUCUGUUUGGGCAGCUCAGUCAGAGUUGGCUUUACUCCUGGUAAACCACCUGGAGAGCAGCUUAACUUACUAGCCUUAUGCAUUUGACCUAGGCAUCAGUUAGAGGAGGGGUGUGGACUCAGCUACUGCUUAGACCUAGGAUAAAAUCCUCCUUGGGCGUUUACUAGCUGCCUGCUGCACAGGCAGGGGCCAGUUGCUAGGUCCCUCUAAAAGUGACAGAUGCAUACCCAUUUGGGCUUCAGGUGCCUUCACUAUUAUUUCAGGUAUUCACAUCCUCUGUGAGCCCCUUUCCAGCCUGCCAGGCUCUAGGUCUGGUCCAUCCUCUGUUCUAGUGCCAGAUUCCACCCUGGAGAUGCCCACCUAGCUUUUCCCCAUGCCCGCUCCUCCUCUUGACCACCUUUGGGACAGGUCUGUAGGGACCUGAAGUGGAUUUAUGGGUGGUGUGGGUGGUGUUCCACAUGCCUGGCCGGCCAUGUCUGCAUCUCCCACAGUCUUUCAUUGCCAAGCACACCUCUUUUCCAAAAUGUUCUCUUGGGAUCAGUGUCUCACCUCCUUUGUGCCUGUACUGGUUGAAGUCUGGAACACAUCCCUGUUUCAGGACCCAGAGGAGCCUGUGAGGCUUUGGGGAGAGAGCGUGCCUGGGCCAGAGGCUCAGGGCAGAGGGUCAGGUCCUGACUUGACACUUUCUUUGGCUGUGGUUUGCAUGGUGACUGCCGCAACUUGCAGCAAUGUUGGUGCUGUUGUGAUUGGGCUAAGAAAUGGCCCCGAGCAGCUUAUACAAGGGCAUCCAGGAUGAAUCAGGAGUGUUAGGCAGUGGCCCGAGCUGUGAUGGAGUGAACACGUGUGCAUAUGCUCACAUGUGUGGGCAUUGUAGCACAGGCUUCACUCCUCUGAGUCACCUCAAUGUACGUCAGGGGGGACGAGGCUGGGAGACCGGAUACCUGGCUUCAGUAUAGUGUCCCACCCACCCACCUGAGCCUCAGGUUCUCACCUCUUUUCAUGGGCAGUGCAGUAUCCUUGGUUCUUUGGGUCAUGGGAGUCCCUCAUGGCACGUGCUAUCGCAUUGGCCCCUCAGGAGACUGUGACAGACUGCCAGACAUAGGGACAACUUUGCUCCCGAGACCCUUUCUCUCACCCUGGCUGCAGCUGCCAACAGGCCCGUCUACCUUCCAGAGCCUCUUAGGGCAGAUGUGAGCAUUGAAUCAUCAUUGCAGCCCAUGCCUAUAGUCCCGUAGGUUCCACUCUUGUCCCCAAAGCUGCAGAACUCUGGAUCUUUGCAGGGACACGGCCUCAUUUACUAUUGAGCCUCUGGCCACUUGCUGAUUACGAGGCUCUGUGGAUAUCCCUUCCUAAAUGGGGCUGAUAAUAUGAGAACACAUGCUGAGAUUAGAGAUGAAGUAAGAAACCCCCAUCCACUCUCCUGGUUUUCCAGCCCAGUGCAGUCCUGGUGUUCUGCUCACCAAAUGUCUUCUGAGGCUUAGGACAGAUGGGAGCUGGAUAGUUGCCCUGACUGCAGGCUGCUGAGUGGAGGUUUGUGUCACGCAGCCAGCUGCCGCAAAAGACAAGGGCUUGUCCCCAGGCCCCAGGAUUGGCCUCUGUGUCUUUGGACAGAGGUGCCAGGGUCUGUGGGGACUGCCACCAGCUCCAGGGCUCAGCUGGCUAGAAGCCUGUCUGCUGACACUGGGGCAAUUAGGGUGUAAUCUUCUCUAAAUGGUGCCUGAUUCUGGCUAAAUCCCUCCUGCCCAAGUGUGGAUUCCCAGUUUUCUAAAAGCAGCUUAGUAUUUGGAUGCUGCCCAGGGCAGCUGGGGUUUGUGGUUGUUGAUAGGAUGGAUAUGGGCGGAUGGGACAGACGUGGGGGAUGGGAGUGAUCCCUGUGUGGGCACCAGCCCUUGGGUGCAGUUCUCCUGAUCCCUAAAGCCAAUGUGCAGGUGCUCUGCUGGAAAACUGAAGCCAAAAGCCACACAGCAGGAAGGGCAGGCCAGGCCAGUGGAGGACAGAUGUCAACAGGGAUGGGCCCUUGGCAUGUUCAUCUGAUGCAUGAGGCUUGUCUGCUGGGUAGGGUGUGUGUGGGUGUGCCUGUAGCCUCUGUUCCCAUGUCAGUUCCCAGGAAGAGCCCCCAGCCCAGGAGGUCCCCACCUUCUCCUGCAGGGGGGAUCUGUGUAGCCUUUCUGGGCUCCUCCCUGCCCUCCUGCCAGCUGAGGCUGGCGGGCUCCUUGGAGCCCAGCUCCACCCCUUACCCCACCAUAUCCAGUACACCUACCCUUCCCUGGACAUCCCAGCUCUGGGAACCACUCUGCUGCAAAGAAGAAGAGUGCCUUUUGGUAUGAGAAGCUCUGUAGUACCCCCUGGGAGAUCAUCUGAAUUUGCUAAGCCUUGGUUUUGCUCACCUGUGAAAUCUGAGUGAAAAAUUGCUUCUUUGAAGUUGCUGUCAUGGCUCAGCCAUUAAUGAACUGGACUACAUCCUUGAGGACCCUGGUUUGAUCCCUGUCUCACUCAGCAGGUUAAGGAUCUGGCGUUGCCUUGAGCUGUGGUGUAGGUUGCAGAUGAAGCUCGGGAUCCUGAGUUGCUGUGGCUGUGGCGUAGGCUGGUGACUAAAUCUCCAAUUCGACCCCUGGCCUGGGAACCUUCGUAUGCCGCGGGUACAGUCCUAAAAAGACCAAAAAAAAAUAAAAAUAAAAA